GAAACAAUGAACUACAUCAGCGGAUAUUAAAAGCAGCCGGAAGUGGGUUCGCGGGCGCGGGUGCACGCACACGGUUCUCAAACAUUCGUGUGCCUCAGAUUUACUCGUAGGGCUUGUUGGACUACCCAGCUUCUGACUCACGAGGUUUGGCAGACAGCCCCACAACUUGCAUUUCUCAAACAAGAUCCCAGGUCACACUAACACUGCAGCCCAAGACCACACUUGGCGGACCAGUGCGCUCAAUGAUGGAAGAGCCAAUGUAUGACUAACUUCUCACGAGUUUUUGCCUCCCCAGUGUUCUUGAAGCCAAUGCAUGCCGGUGUGGAUAGUAAGCAGAAGACUCGAGCACGGUAGAAAUCCAGAUGAAUUAAGAUGCACGUAUUUUUUAACCUUUCCUCCAGCGAGGAGUACAUCAGUUCCUACAAGUUGAACUGCAACAUAAAGUAAAUAGAUCUGCUCCGAGAAAAGGGGCACUUCACUCAAGGCAGGCUAUCCGGGAUCAAAGAGACUCCAUUCCAGAACUUGUGUCCAAACUAGCAGAAGAGAGAAGCCCUCUUGCUGUUGAUGCCAGGGGGAUGCAACAUUGGAGCUCCUGGUAGCAGGCACGUGGGAGAAUAUGCCUGACAACAGGGCUGGUGCUGAGGAAGUGAGGCCAAGAGAAAAAGAAAAGAAAUGAAAAAGAGAUGAAAGAAAAAAGUAAAAGAAAGAAAGAAAGAAAAUGGAAUAGAUGGACUGGCGAAUAGACUGAAAUAUGACUGAAAUUACUUUGUUUUCCCCUAGAAGUCAAACUAUGAAGCGCUUUAUAGUCCAUAAACUAAGCAGGUGGAGAGACUUGUGUUCCUGAAGAGCGAGGUUGGCCUCGUUCGGCGGGGCUUAGUGUAACGGCUCCGCUCUCCACUAGAUGGCGCUGCUAGCCUACUGGGGUGGAUUGUUGCCGCGCUUGUAGGUGCGUCUGCGUAUGCGCGGGAUCGGUGAAGAUGGCGUCAUCCAUCUACUGGGUGUCUAGUAUCCGGAACUCUGUUCUCCCUGAUCAGCGAUCGUGCACCCGUCCUUUGUCUUCGGCUUCCAUCCACUUCCUGCUUUUACACAGUCCGUGACCAAGUCCCAGGUAGCACCUCCCUCCUGAGUUUUGUCUCCAAUACGGCUGUUUUUCCCGACCUCUUACUUCUGAAGGACAACAGCUUUGACCCGUCCCACCCCUCUGUGCAGGGUCUUGCCCAGCAAUGGCCAGGUGCCGGCCGCACCCAGGAACGUUUGCGGGUCCCUGCUGCUACUGAAGCCCAGAGACUGUGACCAGGUGCCAGCUUGCUCCAGAAAAAGUUCGCGAGGUAGUGUAGCAGCAGCGUUUCAAGGAUUAUGGAAAAUCACAACACACAUCUGGCUCCAGGCAUCACCCUUAAUGACCUUGUUCCAGCACCAGCGAAUGUGGUCGUUCUCCUGGGUCCAUUGGGGCCUUGCCUUUGGGAGACCCACACAGCCUCUACCAGGUAUCCUCCCAGCAGGUGAACUGCCUCUCCCCAUGUGGCCUGAAGAACCCUGGACUCCACUCUGCUCCUGGGGAUUCGCCCUUCCCACGAGAGCACCGCCAGGUAGAAGAUGAUGCUGGCUUCAGUUUGCAGCAGGAAAUUGCUUGACUGGAGUACCUUCUGAUGGCAAGCUCAUUUCACAGACGUUUGUAGAGAAGGUAAGUUUUGAUGCCGGUGCUAGUUAAAGCAAUAGUCCAAACUGAUUUCCAAUUAUUCUUGUCCAAAUGGGAAUAUUCAAGGACUGGGAUUUCCUUAUAAAAAUUGUAACUCUAGAAAAGUCACAUUAAAAAAAAAACAACACAACAUGACUUAAGGCUAUCUACAAAAGCCAGCGCUGUAAAUUCCAUAUUGCUCUGGACUUGGGGAAAUAAGCAGAUGGAAUAUAUUGGAAGGGUGGAGGGCACAGAUGUCUUCUUGGCUUGUGUUCAGAGUCAAAGAAGAAGCCCGUUUUGUAGCUGAGUCUGGGAUAGGAAAGAUCCAGAUACAUGAGGUCUAAAAAAACAAGUGCACAAGGUUUAAUGAACUAUUUUUCAAACAAUUAAUACAAUAUUUAAGCAACAACUUAUCGUUUGGGAAUGUGCUCUUCCAAUUGAUUCAAACAUGUGUUUUGUGUGGGAAAAGCUUUUCAAUGGUAGUUGAGCUACAUAAGGUGUCCUUAGACCUACUAACAGUUGCCCAAAGAAAAUUCACCCUCUUGACACUCCAAGCCCUUUGUUCAUUACAAACAUUGUGUCCAUGAUGUUCAGCAAACUGGGAAUGGAUGUCGACUGUGUUGACCUUUCCUUUAAAAGUCAAAAAUUAAAAUCAGCUGCUAUUCUCUGUUUAGGGGCUAUAUUCUUAAAGGAGAAGCCAUGGAAAAUAAUUGACUUCCAUUGUUUAGAUUGUGUUUAAAAUUGAUGCAUAAUUAUUGUAGAGAAUGCAAGAAAAUACAGACAAGAAGAAAAAGUUCCAAUCAUCAGAAAUUCUACCAGUAAACAAAACUAACGUU
Molecule: long non-coding RNA, 2514 nt
Organism: Acinonyx jubatus (cheetah)
Lineage: Eukaryota; Metazoa; Chordata; Mammalia; Carnivora; Felidae
Exons: 4
Source: RefSeq, a predicted model, not a curated record